Haliotis rufescens (red abalone) is the source of this 227-nucleotide long non-coding RNA. RefSeq lists it as uncharacterized. The transcript is spliced from 2 exons. The record is from RefSeq and is a predicted model, not a curated record. NCBI's taxonomy places the organism in Eukaryota, Metazoa, Mollusca, Gastropoda, Lepetellida, Haliotidae.
GUCAAGGGGGAGCGCACUUUUUAACUUAGGACUUUCGAAGUCAGUUGCCCUGUAUUCUGGCAUACUGGUGCGCUCCUCAUUGAAGCCGCCCACGGCCGGCCGUGCUCCGCGCCUGCAUCACGAGCCAGUGGCAAAAGGAUACAACAGCAUUCCAGGAGAUACACACGGAAAUGUUAGGUGCAUUGAGGACUACACCAAAUACACCAGGGGCUGUGAAUGAUGCAAAC